RNAcentral lists this ribosomal RNA (506 nucleotides) under uncultured bacterium. RNAcentral describes it as "partial 16S ribosomal RNA". It matches the Rfam family "Bacterial small subunit ribosomal RNA", at positions 28 to 523 of the family's 1533-position model. The record is from RNAcentral.
GGUGAACGCUGGCGGUAGGCCUAACACAUGCAAGUCGAACGGCAGCACAGGAGAGCUUGCUCUCUGGGUGGCGAGUGGCGGACGGGUGAGGAAUACAUCAGAAUCUACUCUGUCGUGGGGGAUAACGUAGGGAAACUUACGCUAAUACCGCAUACGACCUACGGGUGAAAGCAGGGGACCUUCGGGCCUUGCGCGAUUGAAUGAGCCGAUGUCGGAUUAGCUAGUUGGCGGGGUAAAGGCCAACCAAGGCGACGAUCCGUAGCUGGUCUGAGAGGAUGAUCAGGCACACUGGAACUGAGACACGGUCCAGACUCCGACGGGAGGCAGCAGUGGGGAAUAUUGGACAAUGGGCGCAAGCCUGAUCCAGCCAUACCGGGUGGGUGAAGAGGGCCUUCGGGUUGUAUAGCCCUUUUGUUGGAAAAGAAAUCCAGCUGGCUAAUACCCGGUUGGGAUGACGGUACCCAAAGAAUAAGCACCGGCUAACUUCGUGCCAGCAGCCGCAGUAA